This is a long non-coding RNA of Drosophila simulans, 391 nucleotides long. RefSeq lists it as uncharacterized. The transcript has 2 exons. The record is from RefSeq and is a predicted model, not a curated record. Lineage: Eukaryota; Metazoa; Arthropoda; Insecta; Diptera; Drosophilidae.
GUGGAGUCCUCACGGGGUCCCGAGUUGAUGAUGGCGCUGACCAGGAUCUGCAAAGAGGACACAAAGAAAAAUCGAAAUGAGAAAACAAGAAGAGGAUUUGAUAUCUUCAGGCACUAGGACAUUAAAACCUUGGGUUCGCUCUGCGUGCCCAUUCUACCCAUGGCCGAGUGGCAAAGUUCUCUGGCCACAGUUUAGCAUGGGCCGCUCGUUGGAAGUGGAAACAUUUGGACGGGAUGGGCAUGUUUACCUGCAGAGGGUUCUCCCCGGUGAGCAGAUGGAUGAUCUCGAACGAGUGCUUGACGAUGCGGCAGGCCAUCAGCUUCUUGCCGUUGUUGCGACCCUUCAUCAUCAGGGAACAGGUCAAACGCUCCACAAUGGGGCACUGGGCCUU